AUGGUGGAGGACGUGAACGCUAUCAAGUCAUACAAUUCGAACGAUUUCACGUUGGGGGUGUGCAUGGAUGCUAUUAAAAAACCGGUCGAAGAUCUUGAAAAAUUCAAGUGGCCUAUCGGGAACUUGGCUCUUAUUCAGUAUAUAUACUGGGAAAAAGUUGAGCCAAUUGGUGUGGAUACAUUUGAUCCUUUGUCUUGUGAAUACCCACUAAUGCUUAACUGGCCAGAAACGGAAGGGAAAAAGCGAGACAACUAUGACAACAUGCACGGGCGUGGCACCGGCAAUAUUGAAAACUGCGUUAGUGAAGAGUACAGACGUGCUAAGGUAGCAAGUGAAGGGACUGUCCCAGAGGAAGAAACAAAGAAACCUAAACGGAAAGGUGGUGGCAGGAGUAGAAAGCCAAGCACGUCCGCGGUUUCGUCGAACAUGACUUAUAGUAUGGACCGUGUGAUGACAUACAUAAAGCUGCUUCACAAGGAGAUGGUAAUAGAAAGGUUGAACACGGAAGGUGUGCUGUACAAACCCAAUAAGAGGGACAACAAUGACGAAUUUGAUAAUGUACGUGAAGGAGUUGAGAUGGAGAAUGGCCAGUACAAGUCAUCAAAAUAUUGGCCAGAUAUUGAUUCACCUACCGAUGUAAAGAUAGGAACAUCUUUCACGGGUAUCAAUGCUACAUCCGUGCCCGUUGAUGACACGGGUGCUCCGGCGACGACACCGGGUAAAGGUGAAGCUACUGAUCCUUUCAUUAUAGAUGAUAAUGGAAACUCUCCAUCUUCGGCAUCAACUGUACGUACAAAAGACUUUCCGUCUAUGUCCCGAACCCCGCAAAAUGCUGAUAUUUCUGGUGAGUCUAUGGAUGCUUUGUCACCAACAAAGUCCGAAGACACGUUCGAGAGUUACCCGACAGAGAGCAACAUAGGUAAUGAUGAAGGCAGUCAGGAAAAUGAUGGUAAGCGCAAAAGAAAAAAAGUCGAAAUAUUGCCAAUCCCCCUACGACAUUCUCAUUACCCGCAAGAAACGUGUUAA
RNAcentral lists this ribosomal RNA (1026 nucleotides) under Triticum aestivum (bread wheat). Its description in RNAcentral is "partial small subunit ribosomal RNA". The record is from RNAcentral. Lineage: Eukaryota; Viridiplantae; Streptophyta; Magnoliopsida; Poales; Poaceae.